RNAcentral lists this ribosomal RNA (447 nucleotides) under uncultured bacterium. RNAcentral describes it as "partial 16S ribosomal RNA". It matches the Rfam family "Bacterial small subunit ribosomal RNA", at positions 29 to 507 of the family's 1533-position model. The record is from RNAcentral.
AACGAACGCUGGCGGCAUGCCUAACACAUGCAAGUCGAACGAUGCCUUCGGGCAUAGUGGCGCACGGGUGCGUAACGCGUGGGAAUCUGCCCUUGGCUUCGGAAUAACAGUUAGAAAUGACUGCUAAUACCGGAUGAUGUCCCCCUGAGAGAUCUUGGGGACCAAAGAUUUAUCGGCCAGGGAUGAGCCCGCGUAGGAUUAGGUAGUUGGUGGGGUAAAGGCCUACCAAGCCGACGAUCCUUAGCUGGUCUGAGAGGAUGAUCAGCCACACUGGGACUGAGACACGGCCCAGAAUCCUACGGGAGGCAGCAGUGGGGAAUAUUGGACAAUGGGGGGAACCCUGAUCCAGCAAUGCCGCGUGAGUGAUGAAGGCCUUAGGGUUGUAAAGCUCUUUUACCAGGGAUGAUAAUGACAGUACCUGGAGAAUAAGCUCCGGCUAACUCCGUG